This is a long non-coding RNA of Homo sapiens (human), 492 nucleotides long. RefSeq annotates it as long independently transcribed non-coding RNA 1309. The transcript is spliced from 2 exons. The record is from RefSeq and is marked validated. Lineage: Eukaryota; Metazoa; Chordata; Mammalia; Primates; Hominidae.
AGUCUUUGUAAAAGUGACGUGAAGAGAUUUUCAUGUUGGAAAGAUGACUAACUGCAUCGUAGAAUUAAUGUGAAAGGGUGGCCCAAGGAAGCAAGUUUCUUCACAGCUAUUGCAAUAAACAGGGUCUACUGGAGACCUUGGCUUUUUAUUUCCCUGACACAACUUCACACUGCUGGAGCAAUGCUUGGAUUGCUCUGGAAACACUGGCAAAUCUCAAGAUGCAGUUCAGGCUUCUCCAUGAUGAGUGUGAGUCCCUAGGCUGUCUCUCAAACUAAAGAUUCCCCAGCCAGGCAACUCUAAAGAGUCUUCGACAAGGCAACACAAUUACUCUGUGUGCUUAGAAGAAGAGGGGUCAUAAAUGUCAGCUGUUGCUCUUUGAGUCCUGCUAAUUCAUUCAUUGAUUCACUCAUCUUUCCCACAGGCAUGUGCUGUGCGUUUACUGUACUGCAUGACACUGUGGAGGUUAUAAAGAAAUAAAAUAUUUGGGGCUUA